This is an RNA transcript of Juglans microcarpa x Juglans regia, 1922 nucleotides long. RefSeq lists it as uncharacterized. Lineage: Eukaryota; Viridiplantae; Streptophyta; Magnoliopsida; Fagales; Juglandaceae. The transcript has 5 exons. The record is from RefSeq and is a predicted model, not a curated record.
UAUUAGUGCAAUAAUAACAGAAGACAGUUGUUAAAUCUUAAAUUCUGAGAAGACAAUGUAGUCAAGCACUUUCCCGGCCCUCCUCCCCCUAUGCCUAUGGCCUAAACCCCUCGUGGCGUGUCCUCCCCCAGCUCUCUCUCUCUCUCUCUCUCUCUGCCGAUUAUUCCGUUUUCUACGGUGGCAUUUUCUCUUCAGGCAUCGGAUCUGGGGUUAUUUCGCUUUGUGUCAAAGGGUUCUGUUCAUUGUUGGGAUUGUUCUUAUUGUGGAGAUAGGCAUUUGGGUAUAAUUCACCGGGAAAAGUCAUGGGGGAAUUGUUAUCUUUCUGUUGAUUCACUAGAAAGUCAGUCAGCUCGCGCAUAACAAGUUAAACUGCAAUAGUGAAGAUUUCUGGCCUUAGUUGUGACUCAAGUUGGAAAUUUUCUUUACUUAAUGAAGGUAGAUUCAGUUGUGAUCACUUUUGGCACAAGAAGUUAAUAUAUAUUGCGGAGAGGCAAUUUGUGUUAUGGGUUGACUUCAAAGACUAAUGUUUUUGGUGAUUUUCUGGGGAUAUUGUGGAUUCUGCCAUUUGGAGUGUGUGGAGAAGAAAAUAAUUAGAUUUGGUUUGUGGGUUUGAAAUGGAUCAUAUGACUCCGAGAGAGAGAGAUUUUGAAGGUGAUAUUGAGAGUGGGCUCACAAUUAGUGAAGAUGAAUCGAUCAAAGUUCCCUUUUUGGGUGCUACAAAGCAAGAAACGACAUUGCUCGAGAAGAUUUGUGGUGGGUUCAUUGAUGGGCCCAUCAAGAAUAAGGAGAGUUCAUGUGGCGAUUUUUCAAACUCUAAUAGAUUUUCUCCUGAGACUGUGAGGAUGGUUAGCAACAAGAUAUUAGAGAGGGUAGAGGCUGUAGAUUAUGUUAAGAUAACACCAGUGAAGGAUAAACGUAAAAAGUCAAGCAAUAAAAAACCUCCAAAACCUCCAAGACCUCCCAGAGGUCCAUCAUUGGAUGCAGCUGACCAGAAGCUAAUCAAGGAGAUCUCUGAACUUGCCAUGUUGAAGAAGGCAAGGAUUGAGCGAAUGAAAGCCUUGAAGAAGAUGAAAGUUGCUAAGUCAUCAUCUCCUAAUAGCAGCAGCAUAUUUGCCAUGGUGUUGACCAUUCUCUUCUGUCUUGUAAUAAUCUUUCAAGGAAUGUCGUCCAGUAGAAACUCACCUGUAAACUUCCAAGGAUCUCCUGUGUCAGCAGGACCGACGGACAGUGGUUUGAUUUCUGUUCAUUACUAUGCAUUUCCGUCUGCUAGUGAGCCAAAUGAACCUGGUUCUGGGUCUCCCAAUUUAGUAGAGCAAAUGACUGGUUCUGAUCGAUCGGAAAAGUUGACGAGAGUUGCGGGAUGAAAGGGAGCAUAACUGAAGUGAAUGCUCUACAGCCCUACUUUUCAUUGGAGAACAAACUUCGGAGUUGCCCUUUGAUGGUGCUCUGGUUUUCCUAUCUGAUUGCAGUGUGAUUAUUGUUGGUUUCUCUAAUUAGCAUCCAAAUGGUCAAAAUGUGAAACAAAUGAAGAGCUCUUGAGUAAUGGUUUUUCUUUGAGAUCUUUUGGAGGUAUAUAUACCAGGUGACCCCGUGACAGAAUCUUCCCAGAAAGUUUUAAGUCUUUAGUAAUUCAACAUAGGAUGGCUCGUUUUCUAAUUGUCCAUGAGAUCCACAUGCCGAGUCUCAGAGUCUUCGCACCUGGCUUCACGUGCAACUUUUAGAUUUGGUUGUCGCAAAUCAAAUGAUUGGCGAGCACCUCCUCUAUUACUUAAUAAUUAAAAAUAAAGGGUCAUCCCCUCCCCGGCUAUAAAGAUCUUGGGUUCUCUUGUUCGGUUUGGACCAGAUUAUCAGUGUCUGUUGCAAUCCGAGUCUCUGAAUUUAUUGUAAGAAAAAAGAAAAAGGUUCAAAUUUUUGUGCAGUAA